GACGAACGCUGGCGGCGUGCCUAAUACAUGCAAGUAGAACGCUGAAGAGAGGAGCUUGCUCUUCUUGGAUGAGUUGCGAACGGGUGAGUAACGCGUAGGUAACCUGCCUGGUAGCGGGGGAUAACUAUUGGAAACGAUAGCUGAUACCGCAUAAAAUUGAUUAUUGCAUGAUAAUUAAUUGAAAGAUGCAACUGCAUCACUACCAGAUGGACCUGCGUUGUAUUAGCUAGUUGGUGAGGUAACGGCUCACCAAGGCGACGAUACAUAGCCGACCUGAGAGGGUGAUCGGCCACACUGGGACUGAGACACGGCCCAGACUCCUACGGGAGGCAGCAGUAGGGAAUCUUCGGCAAUGGGGGGAACCCUGACCGAGCAACGCCGCGUGAGUGAAGAAGGGUGUCGGAUCGUAAAGCUCUGUUGUAAGAGAAGAACGGGUGUGAGAGUGGAAAGUUCACACUGUGACGGUAUCUUACCAGAAAGGGACGGCUAACUACGUG
RNAcentral lists this ribosomal RNA (497 nucleotides) under uncultured bacterium. RNAcentral's name for it is "partial 16S ribosomal RNA". It matches the Rfam family "Bacterial small subunit ribosomal RNA", at positions 28 to 507 of the family's 1533-position model. The record is from RNAcentral.